This 23699-nucleotide long non-coding RNA is filed under the name Solanum tuberosum (potato). Its description in RNAcentral is "long non-coding RNA (STUB_LNC004175)". The stretch from base 11998 to 12049 matches the Rfam family "MIR1886 microRNA precursor family". Lineage: Eukaryota; Viridiplantae; Streptophyta; Magnoliopsida; Solanales; Solanaceae. The record is from RNAcentral.
AGAGUUGCUUUCGAGAGGAGUGUGUAUGUCGUUUCUUAUUUCAGGGUGUAAAAAUGGCAGUAAUUGCUUUAAUUUGUUUGCAGUCAAGUCAGGUGAGAGGUGAGAGCCGAGACUAUGCUUAUAAAGGAUCACCAUCUGGCGGUGAAUCUGACCCCACCUAUCCUAUGGACUCUCACUUUUACUUUCUUUUUUUUUGUUUUUUGUUUUAUUCGUUUACCUUUCUAAAUUGGCCCUAAAUAAUUUUAAAAAAUCAUGCUCUUCUCAUUUUAAUUUGUUUUUCAUAAAUAUGUCUGAAAAAUUAAAAUUGGAAGUGGAAAAAGUGAUUUUUUAAAAAUAGAUUGAAGAAAUAAGAUAAAGCUAAUUGAAACACUUAAUAUACUAUUUUGGUUAAGUUUUUCGAAACAAUAUUGCCAGUACUGUUUUAUGUUAUGUACUAUUUAUACAAGUUGUUUCUUUUUCUUUUUUAAAAAAAUGAGAAAAAGGAGAUUACAACAUGGUAAAUUGAACUCCUAUUAAUUAAAAAUAUAGUUUGACAAGCAUAAACUAGAAAUACUUAACUAGGGAUGAAAUGACAAAUUAAAGCUAUUUUUCAUUACAUGCAUUCUUAUUUUGUCCAUCCAGCAUGUUCGUUUUUUCAUAAUGCAAGUACCUAGUACAUUUUUUCCUUUCGGAAAAAAUGAAAACAGUGCGUACAUCUUUUCCCUUGUUAUUAUUUCUUCACAUGCUAACCAAAUGUUCCUUUUUUUAUACUUCAAAUUAAUUUACUUCCGUGCAUUUCAAUUUUAAUCAAGUGGAUACUCUCUUCUUUUUAAUCUAUAUGUCGUUUUACGUUUUUCAGUAAUUAAUUAAACAAAUCUUUGCAAUUAAAUUAAGUUAAAUGAAUUAAGCAAUAUAUAACAAUUGCAAAGUAAUGGGAUUGCGUAAUCGAGGUGAGUGUGGGGAAUAAUGUAGACCGGCGGGCCUACUCAGGAUGGUCUAUGUAUAUACAACAUACAGAGUGACUGCAGGAUUAGAGAGUGGCGCAGUCGUUUUUAUUUUUGGUGUUGGAGUUGCUUGGGCUAUACCUAUAUGGUGGGUUAUGUGGUCACCUGCAACUUGCUUGGAACCCCGUUAGAAGACGGAGUCAGAACUAAAAAUUUGGGGUUCUAAAUUUUAAGAUUCAAAUCAGUAACUUCAGUGUGAAAAGUAUUUUCAUAAUAUUUCUUCUCACUAAAUCGUUAAUUAAUUUUAUGAGAAGUAAACAAGUUAAUUUACAUUUAUAUUUAUAUAAUUUUCUAAUAUACAUAUAUGAUCAACGAAAAUGUUACUGAAUUCAUUCGCGAACCCUAGUUAACUUCGCCUCUGACCCAGUACUGAGUCAGUCUCCUCCUCCGCGUGCUGUCCGCUUUUGGUGUAAUGUGCGGCCUUCUUAAGCUUCCUCAAUCCUCUCUCUCCCUUUCACCCGACAACGCCCUGCACCUUCUGACUCUAAUAUCCAUCCCAUCUCCUUUUAUUUUACCACCUAGCACUUCCUCCUUUUAAUUACCUUGUCAUCACACUUUAUACUAGUUAGUCUGGUUUAUUACUAAAUACUCCCUCUGUCCCAAUUUAUAUGACUCACUUUCCUUUUUAGUCAGUCCCAAAAAGAAUGACACAUUUCUAUUUUAAGUAACAAUUUGCCUAUAAAAUGUCUUUUUUACCCUUAAUGAAAUGAUUUACAACCACACAAAUUUCUAUCAUUCAUUUUUUACCACAAGUUUUAAAAGUCUUUCCAUUUUUCUUAAAGUUUGUGCCAAAUCAAAGUACAUCAUAUAAAAUGGGACGGAGGGAGUAAUAAAUAGACAUAGUCUAUUAUUUUUAUAUACAAUUUUUAAGAUCUUAUAUAUGUUUAAUCAAAAUUUAUUUAUAAUUUACUUAUUAAUAGUAAAAAUGCCUAAGGUGAGAAUAUUUAUUUUAUUGGUUUUAUUUAUACGAGUCUCUAUGUUAAUUCUUUGUGGGACUGAAAAUGUCACUGUCUCACCCUUCUAGGCCAAAAUAGUGAAUUUUGAAGCUUUAUUCAUAGUAAACUCAGUGAUCGAAAGUUCUGUAACGUCAGUCAUACUAACUAUUUUUCGUUUUGAAUGAAUUGCCGUCACUUUUUUCACGUUUUGAAUAAAUUGUUUCUUUUAUUUUUGUGUAUGGUUAAUACUUUUUAGUCAGUCCCAAAAAGAAUGACACAUUUCUAUUUUAAGUAACAAUUUGCCUAUAAAAUGUCUUUUUUACCCUUAAUGAAAUGAUUUACAACCACACAAAUUUCUAUCAUUCAUUUUUUACCACAAGUUUUAAAAGUCUUUCCAUUUUUCUUAAAGUUUGUGCCAAAUCAAAGUACAUCAUAUAAAAUGGGACGGAGGGAGUAACAUAAUUAGUUUUAUACAUAUAUCUCAAGAGGAUAGUAUAUAGUAUACAAUUUAAUUAUACUUUGUGAAAUUAGAAAAAAAUAUUUUUGAUAACCAUCGAUUUUUAUAUAACAUAUCAAACUUAAAUGUCAAAAGAAAAAGUAACAAUAAAAAAGAGAUGUUAAAAACAAUAGGAAAAUAGAAUGUUAGGGAUAACAAAUUGAACAGUAACAAAUAUUACUCCUCGGUAUGUUCAUAAAUUAUUUUUCUUAAAAUAAAUAAAAAUUGUAAAGUUGAAUUAUAUAUUUAUACAAAAGAAGUACACUAUUGUUUAAUAAGAUAAUAAGGGUUGUUUGAUUGGAAACAAGUUAUCGCAAGAUGGAAUAACUAUCCAUCAUUAUGAUAUACAAAAUAGUAUGAUAAAUUAUUUCAAACAUGACAACAAAACAAGAUAUACAAAUUUUUUAUCCAUAAUUAUUUAUUACUCUAUCACUAUUUAUUUUUAUAUGUUGCGCCAAGAAUUAGUGAGCCUGCCUUUGUACACACUCACUCUACAUACUGCCAAAAUGUUAACCACACUGUAUACGACUGUGGUUUUUCACUUUUCAUCUGACUCCCAAUUUUGUCCUUAACGGAGUAACCUUUUUUCAUUUUUUAGAGUGCAAAAAGAGAGAAUUGUUUGUUUAUGCCACUACCUCCAUGCUCACCAGGUCUUGGAUUUUGGCCAAAGCAUUAACUUUCUGGUCACUGCUAAACAAUGCUACAGUCGCAAUGUUCUUCACUAUGUAACAGCUGAAGUGAAGAUGUGGCAAGCUGGCUCCUGCUCCCUGCUGGAAAGUUAUAUUAAGCAAAUUUAUUAAAUAAUGAAAAUUGGAAUCAUAUAAACUAAUUGAAAUGUGAUAGAAACUUAUGUUCGGUUUCAAUUCAAAUAUUUUAGUUUGAUUGAAUACGUAACUUAAGGUCAAAAUCUUAUUAAAGAGAUGGCGAGUAAUUCUUUAAAUUUUGUGGUACUAUUAUGUUUGUCAAAUAGAUGGCUGAAAUUAGAAUACUUAGGUACAAUCAACCUAAAAAUAAAAGUAAAAUACCUAAAUUGGAUUGGAGGAAAUAAUACUCAAGCUAGUUGUUACUCCAAUACUAGUAGGCUUAGUUUUUUAGCAAAUGCAAAUUCAUGAGAAAUUUAUAUUAUAUAACAUGAAAUUUGUUAGUGAAACGCAAAAAAAUAGAUUGUUACUAAAAUGCUAGAAAAGCUUUCUAACUUUUUCUUGUAAAAAAAUAAAUAUAUUUUUCUCUUAGUGAUUCAAUCAAUAUAUCUAUAAAAAUAAUCAAUCCAAAUUGUUUUUUUGUGAAAUUUUCAAUAAAGAAGUAGUAAUUUUUUUUAGUGGUGCAAGUUCUAUCCUUUUAUAAUGUGGUGAGUAGCUAAAAUUGACAAUUCUUUUUAAUUAUUAUUAAAACACCAUAAAAGUUUCGAUAACCGAACAAACAUUUCCCAUUCUUUAUCAUAUUUUUAUCCCAAACAUUCUAAAAAUUACUGCAUGCUUGGAAUUAAAAAUAUCAAACUUCCAUAGCUUGGGAGAUGAACCCUUACACAAAUAUUGAUAAGUUAAAAAAUACAACACUUUUGAAGACGCCCAUGUCCAAAAUGCUUCUCCAAUUUUUUAAUAUAAAUGCAUAAACUUCAUAAUCAUGCUUUAUGCUCCCGUGCUUAUUUACUGUGGCUGUUUCUCCAUUCAAAUUACAACUUUCUAAAUGUUUGCUAGUAGUAUUACUUCGUGGCGUCGUUUGGAUUGAUAUAAAAUUUAAUAGAAGAUAUUUUAAGGUAUUAUACAUAUAUAUGCCUUUUAAUUUGGUCUUAGCCAUAAUUUUUAUUCUCUCGAUUUUUGAUGUGUACAAGUGAAUACUUAAGUUUAUAUAAUAUUGAACAAUUAGACACAUGUGUUCUAUCUGACAUAAAAUACGUGGAAACAUGUAUCUACUUGUUUAAAUCAAUCUAAGUUCAGGUGUGCCCUACUUAUGAAAAUUUAAAGUUGGAAGACAUAAACAUCAAAUGAGGUCAAGUUAAAGGGUGCAAACAAAUUAUAGAUAUUUGUGUGUGGAGUAUAACUGAUUUAAUUGAUGAUAAAAAUCAAAUUGUUCUAAAUUAUGUGGGGUUACAUUUUUUGUGACCAAACUAAAAAAUGUGCCACAAAAAUUUAGACGGAAAGAGUAUAUUAUAAUUAUUGACAACUUAUGAUAUCUUUUGGCCUAGAAAUUCUAAAUGUAUACUUGAAAUUAAAACUUUAGGCAACUAGUCAAUAAUCUAAUAAUUCGUGCGCUUCCUAAAAGUUUAAUUAAUUAGGACACAAUUGCGUCCUCUUCAUGUCACGUUUGUGCUUCAAAAUAUUAGUGGCAUUGAUACAUUGCUCGAGAUCACAAUUAUUUUGCCUUUUUAUUGUCUGAUUAGCUCUUAUGAGUGCAAUAUAAUACAGAAUUCAAUAGAAAUGUAAUUAUUUGUCUACCUAUAUUCUAUAGUCAUCCAAGGUUACUCCAUAGUCUCAUAAUUUCAUUUGUGAGAAUGCGGGUAACUAAUUAUAGCGCUUUCGUUUUUUUUAAAUAAAUAAAUCAGAGUGAUAAAUUAAUGAUUAAAUUUUAAUGGGUCGUGAAGAGAAUGUCUGUUAAUUACAGUACAACUAUGGUGUUUAUUCCCUCGUAUUAUUUUUACUUGUCACUUAUUUCUAAAAUAAAUUUUUAUUUGUCACUUUUGAUAUAUCAAGAAAAGAUAAUAAUUUUUUUCCAUUAGCAUGAAACUUACUCUUUCCGUUCACUUUUACUUGUCAUUUUUCUCUAAUAUAGAUUUUCAUUUUUACUUGUCAUUUUUGACAUAUCAAGAGUGGAGUAAUAUUUUUCCAUGUUUACCUCAACAUUAAAUACUCUUUCUUCAAAUCAUUUUUCAAGACUUAAUACUAAACAUAAUUUAAUUAUGGAUUGUUUGAUAAAUACCUAUAUCAAUAAUCAUUUUCUUAAUGGGUGUGUCAAGUCAAAACGUGACAAAUAAAAGUGAAUAGAGGGCGUAUUUUUCAAAUCAUUUUCUCAGACAUCAUUUAAUAAAAGAUAUUUUAAUAAAAUACUUAUAUUAUUAAUUAUUUUUCUUAAUGGGUGUACCAGAUCAGACCGUGACAAGUAAAGCGAAUGAAGGGAAUAUAUUUUAAGAUUAGUGUAGUGCAAAGAUAAUUGAGACUAAGAAAAAAUUGUAUGUUUCCAACUUAGUCACUAUGAACAAAAGCAUAAUUUUAUGUUGAAUGAAGGUGUUUUUUUUUAUAAAGUGUUGGACUAUUUAACUAAUUUGAAGUUGCUUAAGUAACAAAAUGUUAUUGACUUGUUAGGUCGUUGUAUUCAAAUGGGGAUAGAUAAAAAAUCAUUCUAUUGGAUUGAUGUAUAUUAUGCUGGAGUAGGCAUGAAUAUAAAUUUAUUUAUUUUUGUCAUUUUAAUUAUCAAUUUAUUUAUUGUAAUUUGUGAUAUAUUCAUCAAAGGACUAUGGACUUGAUCGAUGUUCAUUUCUGAUCACUCUAAAUAUUCUUUUGAUUGAUAAUAUAUUUCACAAAAGAAGUGUACAAUUAUUUUUUUGUAAAAACGUAUCUAAUGUAAAUAGUUGAACAAAGAUGUCAUAAUCUAUAAUUUGAAACUUCUAUAAAUUUAUUUUUAUAAUGUAGAUGUGAGCUUAUAAGCUCAAUUGGUACCCACUACCCAACUUUGGAAUGUUACUCCGUAAAUAUAAACUUGAUUUUUUUAGUUGUAGUGUCAAAUAAUUUGUAUUCAUAAUUUGCAUCCUAUCGGUGAAUGUUAUCGUACAUGUAAAGCAAGAACCUUCAAAAAAUCUCAAAUAAUUCAAUUCAAAUUAAUUUUUCUUUUCGGAGAGGAUACAAUGACAUAUUUAGUUUUUUUCAAAAAAUAUUUUUUAUCAUCAUUCAAUCUUAUAUGAAAUAAUAGACUCGUCCAGAAAUCAAACAUAUCCCCUCCCAGGUUUUGUCAUUGUCGUUUGCCGACUAUUAUUAUAAUAUAUUGCGAUUUUCAUUAUAUACAAAGAAAUAACUCAUUUCGGGUUUCAAAGAAGAAACUCAUACCUAUACAUAUAGAAACUGUUCGGAGCAACAUGAUAAGAAAAAUAAAUUAUCAAUUUGAAAAUGUCAGAAAACAGAAUUUGUGAAUUUGUCGUUUGAUAUUUCUACAGUUUGAUGUGAAUUAUAUGUUUGACUGAAGUUUAAACAAAAAUGAAUGAACACGUAUAAAAUGUAAAUUAUCACGUACAAGUAUCACUUAAAUGGUUGUCCACUAUCUCUACCCUUCAAUCUCCUUAACAAGAGUUUGUCUUGCAAUUGAUUUAAAUGGGCCCAUCUUCCAAGUUGUUCUUCUUUUUGAUUGGAUGAAAUCAAUUGUUUGUAAAAUAGGCCCAACCCUCAUUCCAUUGACUCAUUAUAUGUUCCAACAACCGUUUUCAUACGUAAAGAUAUAUAUUAUUUAGACGGAUACAUUUUACGAAAAAGUAUAUUUUUCUCAUUGUUUGAGACUUGCUCACAUUUUAUGAUAAGUAUAUUUUUCUCAUUGUUUGGACUUGCUCACGUUUUAUGAAAAGUACUAUUAUAUUUUUUCUCAUUAUUUGGGAAAAGUACAUUUUUUCUCAUUGUUUGGGACUUGAGUUAUUUUGUAUCAUAAUAUAACAACAAACCUAGUGUAAUAUUGUGGGAUAUAAACUUACCAUUCCUCUUUGUUUCAUGUCCAUUUAUCAUUCACCCAUUUUCAUUUAUUCUCCCCCCGUAACAAGAGCUAACAAUUUGAAUGCAGCAAGGCUUCAGUGUUGCAAUAAGUUUUAUGGAGAAUCUAUAGGCAAAUGUAGCUUUCAUUCCAAGUAGUUACAAAAUGGAGGAGCAGAAGAAAGAAGCUUCACCCACGUAGUUACAGUAAUUAGUCACUCAAGAAUCUAAAUUUCUCGUGAUACAUAUUGUGUUUUCCCUAACUGUCAGCUAAUGCCAGCCUCUGUUUAUGAGUAUCAGUUGGCAACUUGACAUCAGUGGCCAAUCCAAUAGCUUGAAGAAAUCUUACGACAUACCAAGUCAUGUCAAGUUGCCACCAUUUUAAUCCAUGCCUAGCCGAAUACUCAAACGCAUGGUGGUUGUUAUGCCAACCUUCUCCAAAUGCAAGCAAUGCCACCCACCUAUAUUAUACAAAUUAUUUUGAUGAAGUCCCCAAAUAUGGACAAAAAGAAAAGAAGCAACAAGACAAAUAAAUUUAAACGUUUAUACACUAAAGUAUAAAACUAAACAAGCUUACCAGUUGUUCCUUGAUAAGUCACCAGUAUUCCACGCCUGAUUUCCCCAUACAUGGCAUGCUGAAUUUACUAGCCAAGUUAUGUGGUAUACCCACACAAUUCUCACCCCCUGCACACGCAGGGAAUUUAGCAAUUGAAUUUUCAGAAUCUCAUUGCACCAAAUGCAUAUAACCCAGAAUUUUGCCUAUGUUACUAUCAGAUAAUCAUCCAAGUACUAGUUUUAACUUUUUCAAGACUCUUGCAAGUUUGAUUUCGGAAAGUCAUUCUGAUCAAUUCUUGAAAGGUACUAGAAUUUAUCUUGGUUAACUAUUUCUUUCACCCUUCAAGGGCAGAACUAUCGUUGAACAUCAUUUAACUACUACAGUUAAUUACCAGUGAGAUCCAAAAGACAUGUUGUAUGGAACAGCAACAAAUUACACUUGAUUUUGUCCAGUAGUUCGUUAAGAAAACAAAAGACCCUACCAACAGAUAACACAGAAACUUUCUUCCACAAAAUUGGCUCACAACUUGAGUUAGGCAGGGGAAAGAUCCAAAACCAUUAGGAGAUUUGACACAUGAAGAAAACAGUAGUCUAAUGAGAGAUGCAACUGUAGUUUUCUUCCGCAAAAUUGGUUCACAACUUGCCAUUGGGAGAUUUGACACAUAAAGAAAAUACAAUACACAAAAUCGGGUCACAAACUAGGCUGGUGGACAUAUACAAACACAUUUGGAGAUUUUAACUGAUAACAAAGCUUGCUUAACAAUAUCUUAAAUACCCAAAAGACUAAAAAGAAAAACAAGCUUAUUCAAAUUGUAAAUUGUAUUUCCUCAUUUGUACACAUGAUAUCUCAAUCUUUAUGGUAGUGUUAUGUGAAAAAAUGUAAUUUUUAUCAACCAAUUUUCAUUUUAUCCCAAUUAAUAGUUUUCCCAAAAUGUUAAAAAGGGGAAAAUGAAAGCUUUCUCCAUGAAUGGAGUUGUGCAAACUAAGAAAAGCUCCACUUACCAUCCCCCAAACAAUGUAAGGAAAUCCUCCCAUUGCAUACAACAGAGCUGCAAGCGCGAUGGGAUGGAUCACAUAAGUAUCACGAAUGAACUGAUAGAAACCUUGCUUCUCCAAAUCCCCCACAUUGUUGGGCUUCCCACACUACACAUAAAUAGAACAUCAGUACUCAAGAAUUCCUUCCAUUUCAUAAGUAGGCAAAUAGAUUAUAGAAUGAAAAACUUACCCUCUCAGUAAGGGUGUUGGUAUCAAACAUCCAACUCAUAUGACUGAACCAAAAUCCUUCAUAAGGACUGUGAGGGUCUUUCUCUGAAUCACAAAACUGAUGGUGGUACCUAUGAGUACUCACCCAAUCAAUUGGAUGUCCCUACAAUCACACAUGACAUAGUAAAUUCAAAUGCCUAAUACAAGAAAAUAAGAAAGAAUACUUGUAGUGGGUUUAUUGAAUUACCUGAAGUGCUUGGGCACCACAAUAGGCAAAAAAGUACUCAAGCCAUUUGGGAAGUUUGAAGCUUCUAUGAGAGAGGUUUCUGUGAAAAGAAAGUGUAAUACCCAAAAGUCCAGUGAUUAUAUAUAACCCAAAUGCAAUCCCAAGAGCAGCGUAAUUGAAAGUAAAUGGUGCAAAUAGACAGAGCAAAUGCAUAGAAACCACCACCGCAGCUGAGGCCAUAUCCACUGAAUUCCAUUUCCUACCCCAAAGCACCUCCCUAGGCCGGGUCACCACUACAUCAGAAAGAAGAAUCCUCUUACAGUUCGAUUCUCUUUCGUUUUCUGACACGGGCUGCGUCACUGCUGCACUCACAAUUGGCAUUAGCAUUACUCUUCUGCUAAAUCUAACUUUUCCUUCCAGUCCAUAACAAUUCCACUUGUUAACCUCGCCAAUUUUUGUUGUUAUUGAAGUAUAAGACAAGGAAUUUACAUUUUUGGUUGUUUGAGCAGGGAAAGUGCUUCUCCCCGGCCUGUGAACUGCUUGGGGAAGCGGCGAAAAUGGGUAAGGCUUGGACUUAGAGGGCGGUGGUGAUAAGAGGGCCAUUGUUGGGCUUUUGGCAAUUGUUUGGUUUGGGGUUUGCUUGGUUUAUAAAGUAAGUUUGAGUUAAUGGUGGAGAUUUAACGUCAAGUAGGGGGAAAUCCAAGUUGGGCAAAGAAGGUGAUAAGUAACUGAUAAGGCGGUGGGGCAUUUACAAUUUGGGAAUCGAAUUAGUGAGAGGCCAUUGCUUGCGUAGUAGAUUUUUUGGGACCGCCUACCUGGCUACGUCUGUGAACCAAGAUUUUCGGGUCAUUUCCUCCUCCUUUAAUUUUGUCAGAGAUAUUACUAACUUUCUGCGAACGCAGAGUUGGUUUUGUUUUGGGUUUGUGUGGUUCUGUUUUUAUACCUCUCAUGGUGCGUUAUCCAUUUUGAAAUAGUCUCUAUCUACUCUUUCUGCCCAACAAUGGAAAGAAUUAGAUUUUUUACCGAUGGGGUUCAAAAUAUAAAGAGAUAGGUACAAGAGCCCCUUAAGAUAUCCUGGCUCCCUCCCCCCCCCCCCCUUNNNNNNNNNNNNNNNNNNNNNNNNNNNNNNNNNNNNNNNNNNNNNNNNNNNNNNNNNNNNNNNNNNNNNNNNNNNNNNNNNNNNNNNNNNNNNNNNNNNNNNNNNNNNNNNNNNNNNNNNNNNNNNNNNNNNNNNNNNNNNNNNNNNNNNNNNNNNNNNNNNNNNNNNNNNNNNNNNNNNNNNNNNNNNNNNNNNNNNNNNNNNNNNNNNNNNNNNNNNNNNNNNNNNNNNNNNNNNNNNNNNNNNNNNNGCUCCCCCCCCCCCCCCUGAUUUGAAGUGACAAGGCUACAUUAAUAACUGAGUUCACCGUUAAAGUUAUCGGGUUAACUAUAUUAUCUGUUACUCGUUCUUUUUCUAAUAGUAAUGCCAAUUCCUCUGCCACAUUCACAUAGUUGGUUUGUCUCUUGUUUACUUUUUUUUAAUGAUUAAUUGUGAAGAUAAACUCAUUUUUAAGGAAUUUUCGUGAUCUGUGUAUGAAUCGAUGUACUUUCAUUUGUAAUUCAGAGUAGCAGUUUACAGGUAACUGAUUAUUGUUGCUUCAAUAAUGAAGAUCUAGGAAUUAGUCACUUGUUUAUGAUGAGUGACUUGGUCUAACAUGAGCAUUUUAGGUAUCUCUGAGGUACAAAAAGUUGAUAUUCAGGGGAAGGAAAAACUGAUAUAGAUUUUUAGUAGUAAUCUGCUCUAGCAAUUACUUUAUUAAGUUAUUCUAUCACUCACGUAUAAAUAAUCUCCCUAAUAUCUCUAAAAUUAUUAUACCUUACACCUCUCAGCAAACUAUUCCUAAAAGUUCGGAGUUAUAUUAGAACUAGUAGUCUAUUACAGUAUAACCUCACUAAAUUAAUACUUGAUUAAUUAAUAAUCGCUCUAAGAUAAUAAUUUUCUCCGGUCCCGACUUGGGCCAAUAGAAAAAAUCACUCAUUUCGAUAAGAUAAUAAAAUAAUAUAUUUUUAAAAGACUCCUAUAUAAAUAUAUAGUCCCAUUAAUAUUAUAAAUUAAUAAUUCUUUAAAAGUACAAAUAUAUCUAAGAUAAUUGAAUGAAUAUUAUUCUAUUAUGUUCUGUUUUUUGUUAAAAUUUAAAUCUAGUUGAAUUUCAUCUCUAACUUUUCUUAUUGCAUCCAAAAGUUUUGAUGUUGUCUUUUCUAAUUGCACCAUAAAAUUGUGAAGAGUUAUAGAUGUGAUAGGUGUUUCCUUACGCGUAACUGAUUUCAAAGGUAUUGUAUCAUCUUCAACUUUAUCAUCAACAUUAUUUCUCCAAUGAUUCCAAAAUUUGUUUAAAGCUUUGGACCUCUGAACAUGUAUCAUUUUCAUUCAUUCAAUGAGUUAUUAAGGUUCAUUUUAUUGCGGUAAUCGAGAUCAAUAAUCAUGACCUCAAGUUCACGAAUGACAUUUUCACAAGCGGGUUCUUUCAAAUUCUUUGAGAUGUCAUCCCUAAACAAUUUUUUCGGUGUCGAAACACUAUUUAAAUUAAUAAAUAUUAAUUUAUCGAUUAAAUAUUAUCACUAUAAAAUAAUAAUAUUUUAUGGUCUCACCUAUAUUAAUUUAGAGAGAUUUUAGUGUAUAUUCAGCUCUCUUCGUACAGUUCCAGUCUCUUUUUUUUUAUAAUUAUUUUUAUAACUAGAGCUACAUGUGAAUCUAUAAUACUUACAAGACAGGGCACAUAUUAGCAACUAAUUUUUUUUUACUACUUCUUUAGCAUAGUUUCUGCACAAGUUAUUUUCACUCUUUUCAAAGUGAUUCAUAAAUGCUGCACAAUGAACAUGGACGACUUAUUGAUGUAUUUUAGGUAAUCUGAUUGUUGUAAAACUCUUAAUAGGCGUUUGGCCAUGCGAUACCAUAUGAGAUGGAAUCAGCGUUUGGACAUGCGAUUUUAUAUUGAUUUCAUCUCAUAAUUUCAUAUCAUGAGAUGUGAUUCCAUAUUUUCCAAAAGUCAUGAUAUGGAAUUAUACGAGAAUUUCAUAUCAUGAUUUGAGAUAUUUUAAUACAAAAAUUGAUCCACGAGUUUAUAUUUUGUUAAAAUAACCCCCACAUUUAUAUCUACUAACCAUUUAUUUCAUAUGUAAAUAAAAUUUAUAAUCACAUCGCAUUGUCUUGGAAGCACUAUUUUUAUUACUCUUACAAACAUUAUUUUUAUGAAGUGCAUUCUAUAAUGCUUUUAAUUUAUUUUAUGUUCACUAAAAUAAUAUUGAUGUAUUUUUUAUUUGGUAGGAUUGUGUUGGUGCGAUUGAUGGAACAUUUAUAGAAGGGGAGGUUCCCAAAGUGGUGCAACAAGCAUAUCGUAAUCACAAAGGAAGAACAUCACAAAAUGUCUUAUGUGCGCUUGUGAUUUUGAUAUGCGAUUUAUCUUUGUUGCACAUGUUGAACCAACGUCACAAUUUUCAUUUCCGCCACAUGAUAACUUUAAAUUACAUCCUUAGAAUAAAUAUUAUUUAUUUACACAAAGUUGUUUCAUUUACGUCACAUAUGCUUUUAGUAAUUCUUUAUAAAAUGUUUGUUGGUAGAUAAAUAUUAUGUUAUUAAUGCUGGUUUCUGAAACACAAAAGGAUUUUUAGCUCCAUACAAAGGACUACGCUAUCAUUUGCAAGAUUACCGAGGAAGUGAAAGAGAGCCUCAAAAUCCCAAAGAACUGUUUAAUUAUAGGCAUUCAUCUCUGCGCAAUAUGAUUGAACGGACUUUUGGAGCUUGAAAAAAUAGAUUUAGAAUACUGAAACAAGGCAUGAACCAUUAUGAUAUUGAUACACAAGUGAAAAUUGUCAUAGCUUGUGCACUGUUACAUAAUUAUUUGUGAGAAUACCAAAGUACUAAUGAAAUAUUUAUGGUCUAUGAGCAUGAAAAUAUAGUUGCGGAUGAUAUUGACCAACAAAUGGCUCAAAGUAACAAUGUUCGUUCGUCUCCUCGGUCACAUGAUUGAGAAAUGCUAGUUCAACGUGAGGAAAUUGUCUGUACUAUGUUGGAGGAUUAUUAAAGACUAGUCCACUACGAUUUAUGUUCAAUUUUUUUUUAUUAAAUUAAAGUUAGAUGAAACAAUUACUUAAGUGGAGAACAAAUAACUUGUAAUAAUUUAUUAUGCGAUUUUAUAAUUUUUUGUUUAUUUGAUAAGAUUGAAUAAACAAUUGGGGCUAUUUUAAUAGUUUUACAACUUAAGAAAUUUUUAUGUUUAUGAGAAAAUAUAAAACACAAAAAUUUCAAAUCGCAUGUCCAAACAAAACUUCAAUUUCAUCUCAUCUGAUGGGAUUUUUAUGUUUAUGAGAAAACAUACAACACAAAAAUUUCAUAUUGCAUGUCCAAGCAAAACUUCAAUUUCAUCUCAUGAUUUUAUAUCAUGAUGCCAUAUCAUGAUUCUAUAUCGCAUGGCCAAAUGGCCCUUAGCAUUACCCUUAAUUAAACUUAAAAACUUGAUAUAGUUUAGGCUAAUACUCUAUAUAUUUGUGCUUCGAGGAAAGGCUCAAAAUAGUCCCUCAUUUUUGGGUUAAGGCUCAAAGUCAUCCUUGAGUUUUCACAUGAAGCACUAAUAGUCCAUCAUGUUUGUAAUAUUGGUGCACUUUUGAUCCUCGUUCAAAAUUUUACCUAUUUUUUAACAUUGAUUUUAUCCUGGUAUUUAGUGGACACAUCACAACAAUUGUUGGUUGGGAAUUGUUUUUCUUAGUAAAAUUAAAGUAGUUGGGAACUUGUUAUGUUGACGUACAAGUCAGUGAUUUAUAAGUAAAGAAGGAAAAACAAAAGCAGAACCAAUUGUCAAAAUAUAGGAUUACAAGGCACUUGUUUGUUUUUGUAAUGUAAUUCUUAUUUUCGAUUCUCAUACGACAAGUAUCUACUGGUAUAGCUUCAACAUUUAUUAAAUCUUCUUCCGUUUCAAAUUAUUUAUGAAAGCAAAAUUAUUAUUUUUUCCCCAAAUGUUGACUUUUUGAAGUUGUUAAUUUAAUAUUUUUUUAGAUGUCUAUUAGAUUUUCUACUCAUUUUUGUUAAUAGGUUUCAAGGUGAUUUUUAUAAUUGCAUAUAUACUCAUUAAUAAAUAUACAUAUAAAUUGAGUGAACAUUUAACAGAGAGAUAUACCUUAGAUAUAUAUAAGAUUAAACUAAUAAAAAAUUUCCUCAUAAUUAAUACUCCUUAUCUAUUUUUCCAUUUAUAUUAUUUUAAGAAAUCAUAAAUAGGAAGGAUAGUUUUACUAGUUUACCUUAUAAAAAACUUUUUUAACUUUACUAACUUUGUAUACACUUUUAAAAAAUAAUUAUAAUUAUAAGGUUAAAAUGAGAAAAAAUCAAUUCAUUUUACCUUGAUUUUAUAAAUUGACAAGUAAUUUAGAACAUCUAUUAUUAUUAUGUGGACAAUUAAUAUAAGAUACAUCAAAUAUUUCUUAUAGGUGUGUAAGGGAAAAAAAUGCAGAUAAUUUAAAAUGGAGAAGUAUAUGUUUUUGAGAAUAUCCACUACUAAUAUAUAAGAAGGAAUAGGCACACACGUCUCGGUUGACGUGUUUGCUUUCCGUAAAUAUUCACUAAGUUCAAAAUAUCACAUGUGCCACAUAUAUUAUUUCAAAAAUACAUUUAAAAUAUUGUAAAAAUAAUUGACAACAAAAUUAUAAAAUUAAAACAAAAAAAAAGAGAAACUUGCUUAAAUAUACUAUAUUAAGAAAAUAUUUAUCAUUUAUAGUAAUAACAUUUUUCUUUUCACUUGAUCACUUUUAAUACAUUUCUAAUACAAUUUUAAUCCAUAUUACAGAAAACAAUUUAUAAAACACUUAUAAUGCAAGUUUUAUUUAUAAAUAAUAUAUUUAUCACACAUUUUAAUACAAUGUGUCAAUUUCUUACCAAACAAUCAUAACAUAUUUUUAAACAGUUAUAAUACAUAUAUAUUGCAUACAUAAUUAACUUUUAAUACAUAUUGGAAAUUUAUCAUAGUAUUGUUAUGUAUUGUUAUAAAUGGUAAUAAAUAAAAAAGUAUCGCUAAAAUUAGUAAUUAUUUAUUAAAAUGUACUCAUCCAAGUAAUUUUUUCAAAAAAGUAAAUAUAUAAUAAAUUUGGAAGUUAUGAUAGUAGCAAAGCAUGGAAUUAAAAAGAAUUGAUUUGAUAAAAAAGUAGGGUUAAAGAAAGACUAAUUUUGAUAAUUGUGUAUCAAUCCGUACCAUUAAAUGUUCGUUAAUUCAAGAAUUAGUGAUGGAUCUGUUCUUGGACGGAGAAGACUUGAUCAACCCAUGCUAAUAAAGUGUUAAUUCAUGUUGUGUGCGCCGCAAUCCACCUUAAUUAUUGCUUUAUGUAUGAUCCAAGGUGGAUAUCGAUAUCAUGGGCUUCGAAGUCUUAAUCCAACCAUCAACAUGUUUAAAUGAUUAUGAAAAGAAGACUUCAAUUCUUCAAAAUCCAUAAUAAAUUAAAAUGGAUGUUUACAAAGAAAAGACCAAGAUUCAAGAUAUCCACAAGCUCAAAUUAAGUAAAUUGGAUGGUGGGUUGUGAUGGAAUGAUUGAGAUUCCUUCACUCGAUCUCAGUUUUGAGAAUUAGGGAAGGAAGAAUAUCCACAACUCUCAAGAAAUGAACUCUGCAAUAUGAGAAUCAAAUUAAAUAUGAACAUCAAACAUCGGAUGAAAAGGAGAGAAAAAAAAAGAAAAAGACUUUAACCGUGAUUAUAGUCCCAACUCGUGAUGGCGAGAUCAGUUGAGUCCACAAGAAUCACGAGUGUGAUCCUUUAUUGCGAUGGUAGAGUUGCCACAUUUUAUAAUUCGGCCCAAUCAUUUUAAUGCAUAGUUUAAGGAUUUUUUUUUGGAUAUUUAUAGUCCUAAUCAUUUUAAUGCCUAGUUCAAUAAUUGAAUUGGUAAUGAGAAGAUUACUUGAGUUGAGCAAGUGCUUAUUCUAAUAGAUUUAUCCUAUUCGUUCACAUCAUUUGGUACUACUUCUUUUUCUUUCCUUUUGAACUCUUUGGGAAUUUGUAAGACCUUAAAUAUUUUUAGGAUAUAUUAUCCCGUCAAGAUUUAAUUCAUUACUUUAACUUAUUCAAAGAAAAUAGUCUUUAAAAAACAAAAUAUGGUGAAAUAAAGACCCAAGUCCGAGGAUCCGGCUCCCCUCCAUUACCCCUUCCUUUCAUUUCAUCAAAUGCACGUCUAAAUUAGAGACAUGUGUCAUAUUUAAAGUUUAAAGGUCAAACUUAUAAUUAUAUUAACAAAUAAUCAUAAACCAUAGUUAAGUCAACUAAUUUUAGAAAACUACUCUCUAAAUUUGAUAAGAAUUACAAUAUAUUCUAUACAAAAUUUGAUAUUUAUUAAUAUUACUAAUUUCAUAUUAUAUUUUUAUAUUUAAAUAUUAAAUUGUAUGAUAUUUAAGGUGAGAAUCAACUAAACAAUUUAUGUACUAGUAAACUUUGCUCUUGAAAUAUAUAUAUAUACUAUGUUGAGAAAUAAACAAAAAAGUUAAGAAUUAUCAGUGUGUAAAAAAACCAUAAAAUAGAAGACACGAAAUAAAAAUAAAAAUAAAAAGAUGAAAGGUUUUUAGAAUUAAACGUGAAAUACCAAAAUUAUUCCAAGGAGAAAAUGUGGCUAUUGUGUUUGAAGGGGAAAAAUAUAUGUUUUUAAAAAUAAAUAUUCUUUUUUUUUUGUGAAAUAGAAGAUAAAAUUGUUUUAAAUGCAAAUGUUUUUGAAGAUUAUUGUUUAUCACACUAAAUAUAAACGUUUCAUGUUCUACAAUUUUAAUAUUUAAAUGUAAAUUAAAAAUCUAAGAUGAAAUUAAUGAUAUUAAUAAAUAUCAAAUUUUGGAUGAAAUAUAUUGUAAUUCUUACCAAAUUUGAAGAGUAGAUUUCUAAAAUUAGUUAAUUUAACUAUGGUUAUGAUAUUUGUUAAUGUAAUAUAAUCUUGACCUUUAAACAUGACACAUGUCUCUAAUCUAGACGUAUACUUGACAAAAUGAAGGGAAGAGAUAAUGGAGGAGAGCCGGAAGUCCGAACGCUUUCAUAAUUUCAAUUUUCAUACAUGCUGCUAACGUGAUUAAAAAAGCAAGAUAAACACGCAACUUGUUUCCUUUUUAAUUUUUGGUUGGGGGUGGGUGAAGACUUAUAUAUGUGUUGAGUGUUGUAACUUCCGUCCACUAUUCAUUUUUAUUUGUCAAAUAUUUUUUAAUUUAAUUUAUACUUUUACUUAUUAUUUUUGAUAAAUCAAAAAAGUACAAUUUUUUUCUUUCUAUAAUAUCUUCAAUUAAUUUACAUUGAGUUAAUAUCUUUGAAAAUUAUAGUGGAUAAAUAUGUUUGAGACUCAAUCAAUUAAUAGAGAUAAAAUGAUGAACUCAUUAUACUAAAUUACUAAUUAUGUUUUCUUAAUAAGUGAGUCAAAUCAAAAUUUGACCAGUAAAUCUGAACAGAGGGAGCGACUUAUUUAAGCUUAUUAGUUUUUCUAUUCCCACUCUUCAAUUUUACUUACUAUUUUUUAAAUAGAUUUUUACUUACUUAUCAUUUUUAACAUAUUAAAUAAAUCAAAAAGACAAUCUUUUUCCGUCCGUUUAUUUUUACUUGUCAAUGUUUGACUUGAUACACUCAUUAAGAAAAUAAUUAUUGCAAUAUAGGUAUUUUAUCAAAUUAUCCCUAUUAAUUGAUGAUUAGUAUUAGGUCUUAAAAAAUAAUUUGAAGAAUAAGUAUUUAAUGCUGAGGGUAAAACAUGAAUAAAAAAAUUAUUAUCUUUUUUAUAUAUGUCAAAGUAAAAACUAAAAUCUAUUUUACUAAUAAUUGAAAAGUGAACGAAGAGAGUAUUACUUUUAGCGUUAAUUAGUAAAAUAAUUAUGUUAAUUAUUACUAUUUGUUAAAGUAGGUGGAAAAUCCAGAGUUAGACGACUAAAAGUGAAGAGUAAAGUAAUUGAAAUAAAGAUGCACAAAAAGGCGCAGUUGCAAUCGCAAAGAACCCAUAAUUGGAAAUAUAGGUGCUCUAAUAGCCUACGAUUUCACCAAGCCAGAGUCGUCUUUAGUUAGAUGUCAAGAUUACUAAAAUCUACCCUACAUUAGGAGAAUAUAAAAGGGAUCUACAGAAAGCUGCUAACAUUAAAAUUAAGAAAAGCAUGGAGAGUUUGGUGGGUGAGUGGGAAGCUGCAGUUGCAGUUUGCAAAGUACCUAAUUGGAACAGAGGUGCACUAAGACAAGACCCUAUAAUUGGACCAAAGCCAAAUUUAUCUUUACAAUUCAACCUAAAAUCCACCACCACACAUUUGAGUAGAUACAUUUUAUUUUAAUCUGAAGAAACACUUUGGUAUUUCACUCCAUUUUCAUGCUUAGGAGAGUAUUCCACCCCAAUACCAUUAGCAGCAGAUAGUUUUGUCCUAGUCUCCACAUAGUUUCCGGCCAUAGAAUCAAACAAAAUGCCAGCGCCAAUGCCAACAGCCAAAUCAAUAGUGUAAUGGCCCCUAGUGCUUAACAACCUCACAACUUGCAAUACAUUCAAUGCGUCAAAUACUCUAGCCAUUUCCCAUCUCUGCAUACGUUUCAUAUCCAGCGAAGCAAUAACGGAGGCCGCAACAUGCCCUGAAUAAAACAAGAAAAACGACACAUUCCCUACUGGGAAAUCGACCCCUGACCCCAAGAAAUCCUACAAUUCAGAAAGUGAUAUAUCACUGCAUUUUUCGAAAUUUAGUAUUCAUAGCAUUAAAUUGAAUCAUACAUUCAAAUAAUUCAGAACAUGGAGGUUUAAUGGUAGAGAAUGACACUGUACACAGUACACUAGUCAGUUUCAAAUGUGGGUGGUGCUAAUGUAAUGUCCAACUACAAGCAGUAUAACAUUAAAUUAGCUAGGACAAGUCCAAGCUAUUUGUUAGACAGCUAUAUAUGCUGAUUAAGGCUAAAGUUAUAAUAUGGCCCCCCGGCCCCCAAUAUGACUUUAUGGAAAAAAAUAUUAGUAUUAAUCAACAUUUAUUCAACAUUAAUAUUUCUGUUAUAUAGAAUAUUAUUUGAAUACUAAUUUUACUUGUCCAUUUUAGCAAAUGAAGAUAAAUUUAUUACUCAUUUUCUUCCAAUACUACUCGGAUUAAAUUAAAUUUUCAAAGCUUAUUUAUAAAUAUUUCUCAUGUAAGUUAAUAUGGACCAAGUAAAAUGAAACGGGGAGCCUUCUAUGAGCACGAGGCUACACGAAAGUUCAAGAUAGUCCCAUCCAUACUAGUAUGUAAGUCAAAUGUAUGGUUAGCUUGUGAUCUACGCGAAUAAAGCGGAAAUAAUGCAUUUUUAAGUGGUGAAUUACGUCAAAUUAUUAAGUUAUUCAAAUAUUAAUAUUUUUAGAAAUAAGCCUUCUCAAAAUAUAAAAUUGUAAUUUAUAAUCUUAAAAAUAAAUAUGAAAUUUGUAAUCUAAAAAAAACAAGAGAUAGUUACCUGUUACAACUAGUCUACACUUGAUAAAGGUGAUUUGCUAAAGUUAUUGAAACUCUCUUUUAAAAGUUUUUAAAGCAAAAGGCAUCUAUCUAGCUGUAAAGAAAGAGCUUGUAUACAGGGGUGGAUUAAUAGAAAAAAGGGAAAGUAAAAGUACCUCCGGCAACGGCAAUUGUGUAGCAUACCCGAGAAUCCCUCUGAAUGUGAACAUAAACAGCGCCGAUAUUGUCGCUCGAGGCCGUCCUUCAAUUAGAAAAGUCCCCAAAAUGUACGCCGUUUGCAUCGCCACAAACACCUAAAUUAAACCCAAAUGAAAAAAAAAAUUGAAUGAAUUUUGAUUAAUGCUAAAAUUUUGUCGAUUAAAACUGUAGAUCCAGUUCAUAACUAGAUCGAUAACACCGUCAUGCACCGAUUUGGUGAUGUGCGUAGUAGCGUAUAGCGUACCGUGUUUAGUCCAGCAAAAAGAGUGUUGAGAGCGGGUUUAGCAGCAAGCAAUCGAUUAAGAGGAACUGUAACAAUAAAUCCCAGAUCGAAAGGCGGAGCAGAAGCUGGAAUCAUACGAAGAGUAUAUUCCACUCCCAUGAAAAACAACAGUGAAGCAGCGAAGAUACACGGUAUCGGAUGGUACUUCACUACACCGAAUACAUCCUCCAUCCUCCACUUCAUGAAAUACGCAUUACCUAACCACCACCCAUAACCACCAACCUCCGUUGCCGUUGCCGUUGCCGAUGCCGAUUUCUUCUUCAUUUCUGUAACGUCACCUUUCCUUUCAGUGCUGUUCCUUUUGCUGAGAGUGGAGGAAGAACUGUUCCGAUUAUGAAAUGUGUCUCCGUUCAUCGUUGCCGGAAAUUGAGACGGAGAAAAACAUGGUGAUUGUGGAUCUAGUGAAUGUGUAUAUAUAUAUGGGGAUCAAAUGACGGAGUUUACGAAGGUUGUUGUCGUAGAUAUUUAAUUUGGCGAUGAUACGUAUAUCAGAGAAAUCAGAGGGGAUGGGAAUAUCGUUUCCGUUUCAAUUACAAGUGUUGCAAAUGCAAGACAAUCGGCAAACCAACUUUUUGACUAAAAUGCCAAAUAGGGACUAUCCGGGGUAAUUUGGUAUUAUAGUUCACGAAAUUAUAAUUUUUAGAUUAAUAUUUGGGAUAAUUUCAAACACCUCCCCUCAAGUUUAACCUUAUAACACUAAUUUCCCUUCUAGUUUCAGAUAUUUCCUUAUUUUUCACAUUUAUGUAACCAAACAAAUUAGUUUUAAUGCUAAAACCCAUCCAAUAUUCCAAAGUUGCCCUUUCUUGACAUUAUUUUUUAUUAAUCAUUAAAACUCAUUCAAUAUUUCAAAGUUGCCCUUUCUUGACAUUAUUUUUUAUUAAUUUUUUAAACGGAAAUUUCCAAAAUAUUUUAACUGACAUAAAAUUAUCUACUGAUGGUGCUACCAUCUUUCAUUAUAUACAUCUAUGUAUUUCCUUGUAAACUAUCUUCUUCUUUUUAUCAAACACAACAUUAUAAACUAUCGAACUUGCUAAUUGGUGGAACUUCUUAAACAUAUUAAAUUUAGUUGUAAUUUUUACGGUUAGUACAUAUGCAAUAUUUUAAGUACAAAAAGAAUGUUGAAAAUUUAUUAUAAAAAUAUUGUUUAGGGUCGGAAAAUAUUGGUAAUUAUGUGCAGAAAAUUUUAUAUAUAUAUAUAUAUAUAUAUAUAUGAACAUAAUUUUUUUUCUUAAAUCUAAAAAAUUAUCAAACUAAACAUUUAUUAUCGCAUGUCAAAUGAAAGAAAUAAUGUUUAUACAAAUAUUUGGAGGUCAAGUAUGCAGGUUGCACUUUUCUAUCCAAAAAUGAAUUUACCCAUUGAUUUAUUUUUAUCGUUUAGAAUCCAAGUUCAAGCUAAAAAGGCUCAAAUAUAGUCUUAAAAACUGGAAUGAAAUAUUGCUUAGGUUAUUAAUCAUAUAGAAGUAUUAAAUAAUUAUAUUAAUGUCAUAAAAGGGUAUUUUUGGAUUGUGGUUGAAAGAUUAUCAUUUAAAUAAGUUUGAUUACAAAAAUUUAAAAACAAGAGAGGUGAGUGUAAUAUCUGAAACCACAAGGAAAGUAAGUGUUAUAGGGUUAAACGUGAGGGGAGGUCUCUGAAAUUAUCCCUUAAUAUUUUAUUUUUAAAAAAUAACUCAAAUUAUUUUGGAGGAGGUUGCAACAAAUAUUAGUUGAAAUUAAUAAAUAAUGGAUAUUUUUUAUAAAAUAUAAAAGUUAAGGGUACUUUUUGAAUUUUUUAAAAUUUUCAAAUAUUAAAACUUGGCUCAAAUACUAGUAGUUUUUUUCUAAUAUUUGAGAAUUUGGUAUACUUGACAAAUAUAUUUACCAAAUUAUAUGACCAAACACCACUUUUCAAGUUUUUUCGGUGGGGCCAAACGGGUAAAUAUACAGGUUUAGCAUGGAAUCACACAAAAGUGGUGAGCUGUUUCAAUACUUGUGGACUCAAAAGUAGGGAUUUUUUUUAUUUUAGUAUACAGUCUAACAAAUUCAUCUGAUCCUACGUCCUUAAUUUAAUUUUAAAUUCAUCUAACACAUAUUACCCUUAAGGUCCUAAAAAUUUCUAAAAAAAAAAAAAGUUGAAGAAUAUUCAAAUAUAUAAUCAUAAUUUUGUCACAAUCCCAAAUAAAUGAAGAUUCAGUAUAUGAAUGAAAACAAUUAAAUUUCUUUUAGAUCAACGUACAAAAUAUAUCUAUCUCUACUUUUUUAUUCUUUUAAAGAAAUAUAUUGCAGAGUCUUAGUCAUAAACCCGUAUGUAUAAAACUUUAUUCUUUCAAUAUCUCAAUGUAAAUGCAGAUUAAAAUUUUGAUAAGUUAUUUCUUGUUUUUCUAGAACACUUUUAAAAAGAAAAUACAAUAGAAAAACGACAAAUAUCUCAAACCACAUGAAAUAGUAAUGUUUUUUUGUUGAUUAUAAAUAUUAAAUUAAUCUAGAGAGUAGACACUGAGGUCCCUAGCAUUUAUUAAUAUAGUAUAUUAUAACAAGGAAUUAACUGUACAAUACCUUCGAACUUGGUUGUCAUUAUUUAAUUCGUUUCUACAUUUUUGUCUCCAGUCUUAUUCCGAUAUGUUGGGCGUUGGCACAAUGCAUUAACUGGUCGGUAUAUCCAAUCAUGUGACCGUCUAUAUGCUGACGCAUAUCUAAGGAAUUUCCUCGAGUUUACGUGAACUCAUACUUUCCUCUCUAAAUCAUGUAUAGUAUUGUCAUAUUUGUAAAAAAAAAAAAAAAACUUUAAUAUAAGAGUUGUUAAGUAUACACUUUAAUAUAAGAGUUGUUAACCUACACUUUUAAGUAUACAUUAUAUAUAUGUGAUGAUUAGGUGCAUCUCUCUUUAAGUGAGGCUAGAAAGUGUCCGACUAAGUUAAUCCAAAAAGGCAAGGAGUAAAUCAUAUGGGAUGUUUCAACUUUUACCAGCAGAAGCAUAGUUAUCCACUUUGAGAUGUGAUGCUGAAACAGACCAAGUAGAAAGGACACAAAAUUAACAAGACACUUCUCUGGCAAUUCAAGACGUAAAUAGGCUGGAGACGAUUCAUGAAAAACUGGUUAAAUUCUACAGGCUGAUAACUGAUUAAUGCAUUUGCGUAACUCGAGCACCUAUGUGUAGAGUUACGCAAAUGCAUUAGCUUUGAUCAAGCUUAUUGUUGCGUUAAUGUUCAUCUAGCCGGCAUGACUGUGUAUUUGAGAGAGAGAGAGAGAGAGAAAACAACUGACUUGCUUGAGCUCUUAAUAAUUACACUGCCAUAGUUUAGUGCUUGAACAGAAACAACUUAACAGGCAAAAUUUCUCAGAGGUUGAACUGAAUCCCUAAUCUACCUAUAAUUAUCAACAUUUUGUCUUUCUUUGAAUCCUUCUUUUAACUGAAUACUGAUCUUCCAUACUGUCUCAGCUUCCACAGGAGACACUGCCAAACUUCUUAUCACUGGCGUCAAGAGGUUGUAUCCUAGAUCUGAAAAUCUACAGCUCCCACCGAAAAUAUAGCACAGGAGCAUUUGCAUCAGAGAGCCCACUGCAGACCGCUACCUUGAUGCUUGAUCAAGACCAGCGGCAGCAGAGCUAAUGCCAGGGGUAACACCAUUUUCAUUUGGAGGUGGUGUACCCCAUUUACCUUCUGACUCUAGAGGCUCAAGCACAUAAACUCCACCAUCAGUAAGUCCUACUGCGCAUUGGUUUGAUUCAGAUGGAUGAGCAGCAACGACAAGUGGAUAUACUCUGGAGC